RNAcentral lists this ribosomal RNA (208 nucleotides) under uncultured Chlorobaculum sp. RNAcentral describes it as "partial 16S ribosomal RNA". It matches the Rfam family "Bacterial small subunit ribosomal RNA", at positions 568 to 774 of the family's 1533-position model. Lineage: Bacteria; Pseudomonadati; Chlorobiota; Chlorobiia; Chlorobiales; Chlorobiaceae. The record is from RNAcentral.
UGCGCAGGCGGAUUAAUAAGUCGGGGGUUAAAUCCAUGUGCUUAACACAUGCACGGCUUCCGAUACUGUUGAUCUAGAGUCUCGAAGAGGAAGGUGGAAUUUCCGGUGUAACGGUGGAAUGUGUAGACUAUCGGAAAGAACACCAGUGGCGAAGGCAGCCUUCUGGUCGAGUACUGACGCUCAUGCACGAAAGCGUGGGGAGCAAACA